UUUUGUUUUCUUUCUAAAAAAAUUGCAUUUUUGUUGAAAGUUUUAGGCUAUAGAAUAAUUUGAGGUCGAGUUUGCGGAGACUUGGGAAAAAUUCACAAGAUCGGUAUUGUUUUAACACCGUAAGUCUCCUGCAUAUGAAAAUUGAGUUGAAUUUUUAUUAUGUUUUAACCUUACAUUCUCAUCCUCUGACAGCUCUUUAGUAGUUUAUUUCAGCAGUCAGCACCAUCUCAC
This 231-nucleotide long non-coding RNA is filed under the name Lathyrus oleraceus (garden pea). RNAcentral describes it as "Pisum sativum (pea) long non-coding RNA (PSAT_LNC034232)". The record is from RNAcentral. Lineage: Eukaryota; Viridiplantae; Streptophyta; Magnoliopsida; Fabales; Fabaceae.